This 583-nucleotide ribosomal RNA is filed under the name uncultured bacterium. RNAcentral describes it as "bacterial SSU rRNA". It matches the Rfam family "Bacterial small subunit ribosomal RNA", at positions 106 to 676 of the family's 1533-position model. The record is from RNAcentral.
GUGAGUAAUACAUAGGUAACCUGCCCCUGUGCGGGGGAUAACAGGAGGAAACUCCUGCUAAUACCGCAUAGCCAUGAGCACCGCAUGGAGCUCAUGCCAAAUAUCCUUUCGGGGAUAGCGCAGGGAUGGACCUAUGGCGCAUUAGCUUGUUGGCGGGGCAACGGCCCACCAAGGCAACGAUGCGUAGCCGGCCUGAGAGGGCGGACGGCCACAUUGGGACUGAGACACGGCCCAGACUCCUACGGGAGGCAGCAGUAGGGAAUUUUCGGCAAUGGGGGAAACCCUGACCGAGCAACGCCGCGUGAGCGAAGAAGGCCUUCGGGUCGUAAAGCUCUGUUGUAAAGGAAGAACGGCGCAUACAGGAAAUGGUAUGCGAGUGACGGUACUUUACCAGAAAGCCACGGCUAACUACGUGCCAGCAGCCGCGGUAAUACGUAGGUGGCGAGCGUUAUCCGGAAUCAUUGGGCGUAAAGAGGGAGCAGGCGGCCGCAAGGGUCUGUGGUGAAAGACCGAAGCUAAACUUCGGUAAGCCAUGGAAACCGGGCGGCUAGAGUGCGGAAGAGGAUCGUGGAAUUCCAUGUGU